RNAcentral lists this ribosomal RNA (245 nucleotides) under uncultured bacterium. RNAcentral describes it as "partial 16S ribosomal RNA". It matches the Rfam family "Bacterial small subunit ribosomal RNA", at positions 524 to 769 of the family's 1533-position model. The record is from RNAcentral.
UACGUAGGUGGCAAGCGUUAUCCGGAAUUAUUGGGCGUAAAGAGUGAGCAGGCGGCAUGGUAAGUUUGAAGUGAAAGCGUGGGGCUUAACCCCAUACAGCUUCGAAAACUGCCAGGCUAGAGUACGGGAGAGGUAAACGGAACUCCAUGUGUAGCGGUGAAAUGCGUAGAUAUAUGGAAGAACACCAGCGGCGAAGGCGGUUUACUAGCCCGAUACUGACGCUCAGUCACGAAAGCGUGGGGAGC